CCAUUAGAUGUCCUGGGCUGCACGCGCGCUACACUGAUGUGUCCAGUAAGCACCUAACCUCUUCCGAAAGGAACGGGUAACCUUUGCAAAGCACAUCGUGAUGGGGAUAGAUUAUUGCAAUUAUUAGUCUUGAACGAGGAAUUCCUAGUAAGCACAAGUCAUCAGCUUGUGUUGAUUACGUCCCUGCCCUUUGUACACACCGCCCGUCGCACCUACCGAUUGGAUGGUCCGGUGAAGCCUCGGGAUUGUGGUUCUUGACGCUUUAUUGUGGCGUGACCGCGAGAACUUGUCUAAACCUUAUCAUCUAGAGGAAGGUGAAGUCGUAACA
RNAcentral lists this ribosomal RNA (328 nucleotides) under uncultured eukaryote. Its description in RNAcentral is "partial 18S ribosomal RNA". It matches the Rfam family "Eukaryotic small subunit ribosomal RNA", at positions 1470 to 1796 of the family's 1831-position model. The record is from RNAcentral.